Molecule: ribosomal RNA, 258 nt
Filed under: uncultured bacterium
Lineage: Bacteria
Description: partial 16S ribosomal RNA
Rfam family: Bacterial small subunit ribosomal RNA
Source: RNAcentral
UACGUAGGGACCGAGCGUUGUCCGGAUUCAUUGGGCGUAAAGAGCUCGUAGGCGGCUGUUCAAGUCGAACGUGAAAACUCCGGGGCUCAACUCCGAGCCUGCGUUCGAUACUGGAUGGCUAGAGUCUGGUAGGGGGAUCUGGGAAUUCCUGGUGUAGCGGUGGAAUGCGCAGAUAUCAGGAGGAACACCGGUGGCGAAGGCGGGAUCCCUGGGCCAGUACUGACGCUGAGGAGCGAAAGCGAUGGGGAGCAAACAGGG